UUGACCUCGAAUCAGGUAGGGAUACCCGCUGAACUUAAGCAUAUCAAUAAGCGGAGGAAAAGAAACCAACCGGGAUUACCCUAGUAACGGCGAGUGAAGCGGUAACAGCUCAAAUUUGAAAUCUGGCUCCCUGCGGAGUCCGAGUUGUAAUUUGUAGAAGAUGCUUUGGGUGCUUGGCCCGGCCCAAGUUCCUUGGAACAGGACGUCGUAGAGGGUGAGAAUCCCGUAUGCGGCCAAUGUCGGCGCCCGUGUAAAGCUCUUUCGACGAGUCGAGUUGUUUGGGAAUGCAGCUCAAAAUGGGUGGUAAAUUUCAUCUAAAGCUAAAUAUGGGCCAGAGACCGAUAGCGCACAAGUAGAGUGAUCGAAAGAUGAAAAGCACUUUGGAAAGAGAGUUAAACAGUACGUGAAAUUGUUGAAAGGGAAGCGCUUGCAACCAGACUUGGGCGUCGCUGAUCAUCCAAAGACACUCUUUGGUGCACUCGACGACGCACAGGCCAGCAUCGGUUGGAGUGGUGGGAGAAAGGUUGCCGGAACGUGGCUCUUUUCGGAGAGUGUUAUAGCCGGCGACGCAAUACCGCCUACCCCGACCGAGGACCGCGCUUCGGCUAGGAUGCUGGCGUAAUGGUUGUAAGCGACCCGUCUUGAAACACGGACCAAGG
This 659-nucleotide ribosomal RNA is filed under the name Phyllactinia broussonetiae-papyriferae. RNAcentral's name for it is "partial large subunit ribosomal RNA". It matches the Rfam family "Eukaryotic large subunit ribosomal RNA", at positions 1 to 671 of the family's 3401-position model. Lineage: Eukaryota; Fungi; Ascomycota; Leotiomycetes; Helotiales; Erysiphaceae. The record is from RNAcentral.